RNA transcript from Spinacia oleracea (spinach), 1992 nucleotides. It is a transcript of the gene named protein DOUBLE-STRAND BREAK FORMATION, with no coding region annotated. The transcript is spliced from 7 exons. The record is from RefSeq and is a predicted model, not a curated record. NCBI's taxonomy places the organism in Eukaryota, Viridiplantae, Streptophyta, Magnoliopsida, Caryophyllales, Amaranthaceae.
AAUUAAGAAUUCACAAGUAUCAAUUCCCAAAAACUUCCGCAUUUUCUUCCCUCCUAAAAUGGCAGACGUUUCUCUCUUCUGCUCCCAAAUCAAACUGAGAAGAUUUGAUGAUUCUACACUGCGAAUUCUGGAGUUGAUUUUAUCAUCAAAGGACGUGAAAUUAUUGCUCGAAUUUCGAAGUGAAUUAAAAGAAUUUCUAAGGUCAGAAUCUUUGAUUGCCAUCCGCGAAGCUUCUGAGAAACCCGUUGAACAUAAGUUACUGAUUCUCGACUUCCUCGUUCGCGCUUUUGCCAUCGUCGAUGAUCUUGAGAGUUGCUUGGCUGUGAGAUAUGAAGGUUUGGUUCUGCGUGAUUCGUGGACUAUUAGUCAUCCGGAAUUACGAGUUUCAUGCAGUGAGUGGAUGAAGUUUGCUGAAGAUGCUUUUAACAAUGAAUUUUACUCUGUCACUGUGAAGGCAUGCGAAAACGCUCUUCUGUGUCUUAACGUGAAAGGUGAUUAUAAUUGUGACAACCUUUUUGAUACUACAUGGACCACCAAUAAGAUACAGAGACUUAAGGAUAUUGCUAUCAGAUUAUCUACUUGCCAUUCUGUUCAGGGGCAAACCACAGAGUACACGAGAAGGAAAACUUUGAGCAUUAAACAGUCUUCAUUUUCUAAAGAAGCAAAGUUUACUGCAAGUAUCUGCUUUAGAGAUGGGAUCAAGCAGCAGAACAUACGUAAUUUUUUACGUCUAAAAAAUCAGUAGCAUAAUCGAUCAGAUCCAUGCAUUUCAGAUUGCUGUUUGAAUUAGGAUAUCUUUCUUUCAUUGGGAACCUAUUAACAAAUUCUGGUUAAGCAGUUGGACUAUUGAGAAACUUUUUGUCUGUGCACGGGGUGAUUGAAUUUAUGAUGUUAUUUGCAUGACACGAUGCAUUUCCAUCCUGAAACUGCACGCGAAAUACGGAAAUACUUCCUCCGUCUUUUAAUACUCGCAACGUUUGUUAGUUUCACGCAUGCCGAUGCACAACUUUGAUCAUUUAUAUCUUAAAUUCUCUUUAUGCAAAAAUUAUAAAAAGUUGAUAUUUUGAAAAUAUACAUUGAGACGAAUCUAACAAGAUCCUACAUGACUAUGUUUUAUCUUAUAUAAAAAACAUUAUGAAUAGUCAAAGUAGAUUAUAUGAAUAGUGGCAAAAGUCCAAACGUUGCGAGUAUUAAAAGACGGAGGAAGUAAUUCUUAUGGAGUGUAACAUUAUGUGAAUAUAUGAUGCUUACCCUUUUUAUCUCAUCGAGUGCGUUCUAUUCAGUAUUUACCUUGUUUUCACUAGCUUAUUUGAACUUAUUUAAGGUCUGAAUUGAAUUUGGAUAAAAAAAAUUCUUGUUUUUUCUGAAAUAAAUAAAAAUAGGCGAAUCAUGUCUGUAUUUACCUAAUAUUAAACUUUUCAUAACUUGAGAAUGCCUUUUCGUAUGUAAAUAAGUACGUAAUAUUUGACUAUGCAUAAUAUUUAUUUAGUCUCUGCUUGUUUAGAGGUUAACAUGCAUAUAUCUAGACUUUUUAAGUUUCUAGAGUGCAUAAUCCACAUUGAGUGGUUAUUGUUGACCGAUUUAAAGUUCUUUCAAACUAGAUAAUAAUCAAUCAUUAGACAAAAAGAAUGUGUAAAAUAGGCAGGCGGCAAUCGUUUGGUAUCUUCCCGGAAGGUAACGAUAUAUAUCGCAACUUCCAGCCAAAACAAACCAUUCCCGAUGGUGUGAAAGUGGGUUGUGAAUUUGAAGUGUAAUGGUAUACCGGCCACAACCCGCCUUCGUAGCAAGUUAGGGGGGAAGACUAGAAGAGGGAUGUGCAAGCCUUGUGCAUGUGCAUCGUAGAGAAUUUUUGCCCAUAAUUUCCCACCAAUAAUCCAAUAUGAUGGAACAAUUUCAAGGGUAAUUGGGACGUGUAGGUUGCUUUUCCAUUAGACUCUUGUUAUAACCAAAUGCGUGCCACAAAUAAUUAGGAAUAAAUCGUGCAAAUACAAU